AUGAGCUGUUUUCAACUCCCAAAGAAAACAUGCCGGAAACUGACUUCGAUUUCUUCGAACUUCUGGUGGGGUUCAACAAGUGGUGAUAAAAAGGUUCACUGGAUUGCUUGGGAUAAGAUGUGCACCGCAAAACAUGAAGGUGGUAUGGGCUUCCGCAACUAUCAAGUUUGUAGCCAAGCCUUGCUUGCCAAACAAGCUUGGAGGAUUCUGCGGAACCCAUCAUCUUUGUGUGCGCGUGUGUUGAAAGCACGAUAUUUUAAAGAAGGGUCCAUUAUGAAUGCAACAUGCCCAAGCAACGCCUCUUUUACUUUCAGGAGUAUUAUUCAUGGGAGAGAU
This 336-nucleotide ribosomal RNA is filed under the name Triticum aestivum (bread wheat). RNAcentral describes it as "partial small subunit ribosomal RNA". The record is from RNAcentral. Lineage: Eukaryota; Viridiplantae; Streptophyta; Magnoliopsida; Poales; Poaceae.